Molecule: ribosomal RNA, 497 nt
Filed under: uncultured bacterium
Lineage: Bacteria
Description: partial 16S ribosomal RNA
Rfam family: Bacterial small subunit ribosomal RNA
Source: RNAcentral
GAUGAACGCUGGCGGCGUGCCUAAUACAUGCAAGUCGAGCGAACAGACGAGGAGCUUGCUCCUCUGACGUUAGCGGCGGACGGGUGAGUAACACGUGGAUAACCUACCUAUAAGACUGGGAUAACUUCGGGAAACCGGAGCUAAUACCGGAUAAGCUAUUGAACCGCAUGGUUCAAUAGUGAAAUACGGCUUUGCUGUCACUUAUAGAUGGAUCCGCGCCGGAUUAGCUAGUUGGUAAGGUAACGGCUUACCAAGGCAACGCUGCGUAGCCGACGUGAGAGGGUGAUCGGCCACACUGGAACUGAGACGCGGUCCAGACGCCUGCGGGAGGCAGCAGUAGGGAACCUUCCGCAGUGGGCGGAAGCCUGACGGAGCGACGCCGCGUGAGUGAUGAAGGUCUUCGGAUCGUAAAACUCUGUUAUUAGGGAAGAACAAAUGUGUAAGUAACUAUGCACGUCUUGACGGUACCUAAUCAGAAAGCCCCGGCUAACUACGUG